This 2899-nucleotide ribosomal RNA is filed under the name Klebsiella pneumoniae. RNAcentral describes it as "23S ribosomal RNA". It matches the Rfam family "Bacterial large subunit ribosomal RNA". Lineage: Bacteria; Pseudomonadati; Pseudomonadota; Gammaproteobacteria; Enterobacterales; Enterobacteriaceae. The record is from RNAcentral.
UUAAGCGACUAAGCGUACACGGUGGAUGCCCUGGCAGUCAGAGGCGAUGAAGGACGUGCUAAUCUGCGAAAAGCGUCGGUAAGGUGAUAUGAACCGUUAUAACCGGCGAUGUCCGAAUGGGGAAACCCAGUGUGAUUCGUCACACUAUCGUUAACUGAAUACAUAGGUUAACGAGGCGAACCGGGGGAACUGAAACAUCUAAGUACCCCGAGGAAAAGAAAUCAACCGAGAUUCCCCCAGUAGCGGCGAGCGAACGGGGAGCAGCCCAGAGUCUGAAUCAGCUUGUGUGUUAGUGGAACGGUCUGGAAAGUCCGACGGUACAGGGUGAUAGUCCCGUACACCAAAAUGCACAGGUUGUGAACUCGAAGAGUAGGGCGGGACACGUGGUAUCCUGUCUGAAUAUGGGGGGACCAUCCUCCAAGGCUAAAUACUCCUGACUGACCGAUAGUGAACCAGUACCGUGAGGGAAAGGCGAAAAGAACCCCGGCGAGGGGAGUGAAAAAGAACCUGAAACCGUGUACGUACAAGCAGUGGGAGCACCUUCGGGUGUGACUGCGUACCUUUUGUAUAAUGGGUCAGCGACUUAUAUUCUGUAGCAAGGUUAACCGUAUAGGGGAGCCGCAGGGAAACCGAGUCUUAACUGGGCGUUAAGUUGCAGGGUAUAGACCCGAAACCCGGUGAUCUAGCCAUGGGCAGGUUGAAGGUUGGGUAACACUAACUGGAGGACCGAACCGACUAAUGUUGAAAAAUUAGCGGAUGACUUGUGGCUGGGGGUGAAAGGCCAAUCAAACCGGGAGAUAGCUGGUUCUCCCCGAAAGCUAUUUAGGUAGCGCCUCGUGAAUUCAUCUUCGGGGGUAGAGCACUGUUUCGGCUAGGGGGUCAUCCCGACUUACCAACCCGAUGCAAACUACGAAUACCGAAGAAUGUUAUCACGGGAGACACACGGCGGGUGCUAACGUCCGUCGUGAAGAGGGAAACAACCCAGACCGCCAGCUAAGGUCCCAAAGUCAUGGUUAAGUGGGAAACGAUGUGGGAAGGCACAGACAGCCAGGAUGUUGGCUUAGAAGCAGCCAUCAUUUAAAGAAAGCGUAAUAGCUCACUGGUCGAGUCGGCCUGCGCGGAAGAUGUAACGGGGCUAAACCAUGCACCGAAGCUGCGGCAGCGACACUAUGUGUUGUUGGGUAGGGGAGCGUUCUGUAAGCCUGCGAAGGUGUGCUGUGAGGCAUGCUGGAGGUAUCAGAAGUGCGAAUGCUGACAUAAGUAACGAUAAAGCGGGUGAAAAGCCCGCUCGCCGGAAGACCAAGGGUUCCUGUCCAACGUUAAUCGGGGCAGGGUGAGUCGACCCCUAAGGCGAGGCCGAAAGGCGUAGUCGAUGGGAAACAGGUUAAUAUUCCUGUACUUGGUGUUACUGCGAAGGGGGGACGGAGAAGGCUAUGUUAGCCGGGCGACGGUUGUCCCGGUUUAAGCAUGUAGGCUGGUUAUCCAGGCAAAUCCGGAUAAUCAAGGCUGAGGUGUGAUGACGAGGCACUACGGUGCUGAAGUAACAAAUGCCCUGCUUCCAGGAAAAGCCUCUAAGCAUCAGGUAACAUCAAAUCGUACCCCAAACCGACACAGGUGGUCAGGUAGAGAAUACCAAGGCGCUUGAGAGAACUCGGGUGAAGGAACUAGGCAAAAUGGUGCCGUAACUUCGGGAGAAGGCACGCUGGUGUGUAGGUGAAGCCCCUGCGGGUGGAGCUGAGACCAGUCGAAGAUACCAGCUGGCUGCAACUGUUUAUUAAAAACACAGCACUGUGCAAACACGAAAGUGGACGUAUACGGUGUGACGCCUGCCCGGUGCCGGAAGGUUAAUUGAUGGGGUUAUCCGUAAGGAGAAGCUCUUGAUCGAAGCCCCGGUAAACGGCGGCCGUAACUAUAACGGUCCUAAGGUAGCGAAAUUCCUUGUCGGGUAAGUUCCGACCUGCACGAAUGGCGUAAUGAUGGCCAGGCUGUCUCCACCCGAGACUCAGUGAAAUUGAACUCGCUGUGAAGAUGCAGUGUACCCGCGGCAAGACGGAAAGACCCCGUGAACCUUUACUAUAGCUUGACACUGAACAUUGAGCCUUGAUGUGUAGGAUAGGUGGGAGGCUUUGAAGCGUGGACGCCAGUCUGCGUGGAGCCAACCUUGAAAUACCACCCUUUAAUGUUUGAUGUUCUAACGUUGGCCCCUUACCGGGGUUGCGGACAGUGUCUGGUGGGUAGUUUGACUGGGGCGGUCUCCUCCCAAAGCGUAACGGAGGAGCACGAAGGUUAGCUAAUCCUGGUCGGACAUCAGGAGGUUAGUGCAAUGGCAUAAGCUAGCUUGACUGCGAGCGUGACGGCGCGAGCAGGUGCGAAAGCAGGUCAUAGUGAUCCGGUGGUUCUGAAUGGAAGGGCCAUCGCUCAACGGAUAAAAGGUACUCCGGGAUAACAGGCUGAUACCGCCCAAGAGUUCAUAUCGACGGCGGUGUUUGGCACCUCGAUGUCGGCUCAUCACAUCCUGGGGCUGAAGUAGGUCCCAAGGGUAUGGCUGUUCGCCAUUUAAAGUGGUACGCGAGCUGGGUUUAGAACGUCGUGAGACAGUUCGGUCCCUAUCUGCCGUGGGCGCUGGAGAAUUGAGGGGGGCUGCUCCUAGUACGAGAGGACCGGAGUGGACGCAUCACUGGUGUUCGGGUUGUCAUGCCAAUGGCACUGCCCGGUAGCUAAAUGCGGAAGAGAUAAGUGCUGAAAGCAUCUAAGCACGAAACUUGCCCCGAGAUGAGUUCUCCCUGAGACUUUAAGUCUCCUGAAGGAACGUUAAAGACGAUGACGUUGAUAGGCCGGGUGUGUAAGCGCAGCGAUGCGUUGAGCUAACCGGUACUAAUGAACCGUGAGGCUUAACCUU